This 253-nucleotide ribosomal RNA is filed under the name Leyella stercorea DSM 18206. RNAcentral's name for it is "Prevotella stercorea DSM 18206 partial 16S ribosomal RNA". It matches the Rfam family "Bacterial small subunit ribosomal RNA", at positions 524 to 776 of the family's 1533-position model. The record is from RNAcentral. Lineage: Bacteria; Pseudomonadati; Bacteroidota; Bacteroidia; Bacteroidales; Prevotellaceae.
UACGGAAGGUUCGGGCGUUAUCCGGAUUUAUUGGGUUUAAAGGGAGCGUAGGCCGUCUUAUAAGCGUGUUGUGAAAUGUCGGGGCUCAACCUGGGCAUUGCAGCGCGAACUGUGAGACUUGAGUGCGCAGGAAGUAGGCGGAAUUCGUCGUGUAGCGGUGAAAUGCUUAGAUAUGACGAAGAACUCCGAUUGCGAAGGCAGCCUGCUGUAGCGCAACUGACGCUGAAGCUCGAAAGCGUGGGUAUCGAACAGG